Molecule: ribosomal RNA, 274 nt
Filed under: uncultured bacterium
Lineage: Bacteria
Description: partial 16S ribosomal RNA
Rfam family: Bacterial small subunit ribosomal RNA
Source: RNAcentral
AUACGGAGGGUGCAAGCGUUGUUCGGAAUUACAGGGCGUAAAGCGCGCGUAGGUGGUCUGUUAUGUCAGAUGUGAAAGUCCACGGCUCAACCGUGGAAGUGCAUUUGAAACUGGCAGACUUGAGUACUGGAGGGGGUAGUGGAAUUCCCGGUGUAGAGGUGAAAUUCGUAGAUAUCGAGAGGAAUACCGGUGGCGAAGGCGACUACCUGGCCAGAUACUGACACUGAGGUGCGAAAGCGUGGGGAGCGAACAGGAUUAGAAACCCCGGUAGUCC